Molecule: ribosomal RNA, 742 nt
Filed under: uncultured archaeon
Lineage: Archaea
Description: bacterial SSU rRNA
Rfam family: Archaeal small subunit ribosomal RNA
Source: RNAcentral
GCUAUCAGAGUGGGACUAAGCCAUGCGAGUCGACACAGCAAUGUGUGGCAUACGGCUCAGUAACACGUAGUCAACAUGCCCAGGGGACGUGGAUAACCUCGGGAAACUGAGGAUAAACCGCGAUAGGUCACUACUUCUGGAAUGGGUAAUGACCCAAACCUACAUGGCCCCUGGAUUGGACUGCGGCCGAUCAGGCUGUUGGUGAGGUAAUGGCCCACCAAACCUGUAACCGGUACGGGCUCUGAGAGGAGGAGCCCGGAGAUGGGCACUGAGACAAGGGCCCAGGCCCUAUGGGGCGCAGCAGGCGCGAAACCUCUGCAAUAGGCGAAAGCUUGACAGGGUUACUCUGAGUGAUUUCCGUUAAGGAGAUCUUUUGGCACCUCUAAAAAUGGUGCAGAAUAAGGGGUGGGCAAGUCUGGUGUCAGCCGCCGCGGUAAUACCAGCACCCCGAGUGGUCGGGACGUUUAUUGGGCCUAAAGCAUCCGUAGCCGGUUCUACAAGUCUUCCGUUAAAUCCACCUGCUUAACAGAUGGGCUGCGGAAGAUACUAUGGAGCUAGGAGGCGGGAGAGGCAAGCGGUACUCGAUGGGUAGGGGUAAAAUCCGUUGAUCCAUUGAAGACCACCAGUGGCGAAGGCGGCUUGCCAGAACGCGCUCGACGGUGAGGGAUGAAAGCUGGGGGAGCAAACCGGAUUAGAUACCCGGGUAGUCCCAGCUGUAAACGAUGCAGACUCGGUGAUGAGU